RNAcentral lists this non-coding RNA (46 nucleotides) under Schistosoma margrebowiei. Lineage: Eukaryota; Metazoa; Platyhelminthes; Trematoda; Strigeidida; Schistosomatidae. The record is from RNAcentral.
GCACUGCCGAGGAGUCCCACAAUAGGAUGAAACGGCCGUACAGUGC